RNAcentral lists this small nucleolar RNA (92 nucleotides) under Nannospalax galili (Upper Galilee mountains blind mole rat). Its description in RNAcentral is "Small nucleolar RNA SNORA31 (ENSNGAG00000004492.1)". The record is from RNAcentral. Lineage: Eukaryota; Metazoa; Chordata; Mammalia; Rodentia; Spalacidae.
AUGCAAGCAUUAGUACAGAUGCAAGAAGAAAAUUUCCUCAUGCUUUCUGCCUGUUUGAUUGUGGCAGCCAAAUUUAACAGAGGAACACAAAG